GUGUGUUAAAUUUAAAUUCUGUUAGUGCUGCACCAAAAGAAUCGUUAGUAAUAAGUCCAUGCAGCGAAGGAAUUGAACAAUUGUGGGACCGUAUUUGGGCCGAAAAUGGGUGUGGUACGGAAACCGAGAUAUGGCACGAGUUCAACAUAAAACAUUGAUUAGAAUUUUAGCAGGGGAUCAAGUCAAGUCUGGAAGUGUUACAGGAUGGAAGAGUCAGCCUACAGUUGAAAAAACACUGAGAGUGCAUUAUCAUUAAGCAAUCCUUUAUAGUUCUGUCACAGCUAGAAGCCUCAAAUAAGUCUGCUUCCCUUGCUAAAGAACAACUUGUCCUUUACGCUCAGUGUUGGUGAAGCUGGGUACUUAAAUGGCCCUAAAGAUGUUUCACUUCACUGGCAUUGCAGCGAUGAACAUCAUACAUGGACUCUUUAGGAAAGGAUUUUUAGUAUACUGGGAACACAACUAUCAACAAUGCAACAUUCUACGGGUGUUAUUUUAUCAUUCAAGAGCCUUUUACAAUGAUUUUCAUCUACAAUUUGUAUGGCCUUUUCCAAGCUUCUGUCAGAAGUUGAAUCUAUGAGUCAUGUAAGUCACAUGAGCAACAAUUGAGAUGCUUAAUGGUGUUGUUUUUCUUUUCUCAGUGUAGGUUAAUAGUAACAUUGGAUCUGAAAAAAUUCUUGGUUGGGGCAUGACACUGAAUAAAUUGUAAUGAUUGGAUGGAUGACAUGAUAUUUCUAUACUUCAUUCGGAUUCCCGAGACGGUAUUUUAUAUUUAAAAAAUUGAAGUGCAUAUCUGGGCUCCCUUCCUUUCCGUAGCCCCGUUUCCCCUUGACUCGUAAUAAGCCCGUAGGGGGUCAUGCCCCUACUGUACGGUAUAUAUAAAAAUAACAUAUACCGAGGUUUGGAGGGCUCUGGCCGGAAAGGGG
Molecule: long non-coding RNA, 923 nt
Organism: Daphnia carinata
Lineage: Eukaryota; Metazoa; Arthropoda; Branchiopoda; Diplostraca; Daphniidae
Exons: 4
Source: RefSeq, a predicted model, not a curated record